GACGAACGCUGGCGGCGUGCUUAACACAUGCCAGUCGAACGGAAAGGCCCUGCUUUUGUGGGGUGCUCGAGUGGCGAACGGGUGAGUAACACGUGAGUAACCUGCCCUUGACUUUGGGAUAACUUCAGGAAACUGGGGCUAAUACCGGAUAGGAGCUCCUGCUGCAUGGUGGGGGUUGGAAAGUUUCGGCGGUUGGGGAUGGACUCGCGGCUUAUCGGCUUGUUGGUGGGGUAGUGGCUUACCAAGGCUUUGACGGGUAGCCGGCCUGGGAGGGUGACCGGCCACAUUGGGACUGUGAUACGGCCCAGACUCCUACGGGAGGCAGCAGUGGGGAAUAUUGCACAAUGGGCGGAAGCCUGAUGCAGCAACGCCGCGUGCGGGAUGACGGCCUUCGGGUUGUAAACCGCUUUCGCCUGUGACGAAGCGUGAGUGACGGUAAUGGGUAAAGAAGCACCGGCUAACUACGUG
Molecule: ribosomal RNA, 468 nt
Filed under: uncultured bacterium
Lineage: Bacteria
Description: partial 16S ribosomal RNA
Rfam family: Bacterial small subunit ribosomal RNA
Source: RNAcentral